This 1126-nucleotide long non-coding RNA is filed under the name Homo sapiens (human). Its description in RNAcentral is "non-protein coding ELOA-AS1:24". The record is from RNAcentral. Lineage: Eukaryota; Metazoa; Chordata; Mammalia; Primates; Hominidae.
AGCUUCCUAGGUGUGGAAACUGAAGGACCAAGAGAUUAAACAGUGGUGCAAAAGUGGUAAGAAUUCAGCAUUCUCCUCGACAAGUGGACGAGCAUCUACUGUGCUUUCACAGCGGCUAUCACUAUUGCCAGCAGCAAGACUGUCAGCUCGGCGCCCUCGUCUGGUUGGAUGGGAAACUGCAGUUGCUAAGGGAGCUGGGUUUGUAAGGAGCCGGCCAGGGUUGCAGGGUGGCUUAGCUGUGAUUUGGGAGUAAUGCCUUGUGCCUCUGCUUACUGUCUCCUCUCUUGCACUCCUAUGUUGCAGGAAUCUCUGAGGACAAAUGGGAAUUCUCACUGAUUUCUAGGACUACCCUGGGGCAGGCACCCUGCACAGCAAUACACACUGAACAAUGUCGAGUUUCUGCUGAAUAGACUUCCUACGUUGCUCUGGAAUUCGAAGUUGGCCUAACUGAGGUCUCCAGUUACAGAAAACACUGGCUCUGUAUCCUGGGCUUUGAGAAAACUUAUCAGGCUGUCACACUUACCAUCCCUUCAGUCUGCUUGUCAGGUUCCUUAAGGACGCAUAUCUCAAAUGUAUGGCAUCUACCUCUACCUGGGUCACAACCAAGUGGGUUUCUACUAGAUCGGUGUUCCUUGACAGCCAACAAGGGAGCUGACACUGCCCUCCUAAGUUCUGAUCUUGCUCCUGUUCAACUGGAACUUGAUGGAUCCCAUGUGGUUUCCCCCAUCCUGACGCUGUGGCUCAGACACUCUCCCUAAGCUGGUCCUUCCCUCCAAAUCCUGCCUUAAACACACUCAGAAGGUAGAAAACACUUCAGCAGCAAAGUCCUCUUCCCAAGCCAACAGUUGUGUUCUUCCAAUCACAUGAUCUUACCUUUUCAAUAAAAGGCAAAACAAACCAAUUUCCAACAUAGCAUUACAGCCUUUAAAACCAUUCACUUCUCAUAGUGAUUCACAGAGAACAAGAGAUUAAAGUGCUGGAUUUUAAAUGUCUAAAGUUGCCUUCAGGGCUACAAAAAGCCCUGCCGUGUGUGUUUUUCCUUCAUGGUGUUGAGGGGAAGGAAAGAUAGGGAAGGGCAGUGGGGAGAAACCCUAAAAUUUUCAAUCAGAAACUGGAAAUUGUAAAA